Ictidomys tridecemlineatus (thirteen-lined ground squirrel) is the source of this 69-nucleotide non-coding RNA. Lineage: Eukaryota; Metazoa; Chordata; Mammalia; Rodentia; Sciuridae. The record is from Rfam.
GGGGUUGUGGCUCAGUGGUAGAGCACUCGUCUAGCAAGUGUGAGGCCCUGGGUUUGACCCUCAGUACCA